RNAcentral lists this ribosomal RNA (496 nucleotides) under uncultured bacterium. RNAcentral describes it as "partial 16S ribosomal RNA". It matches the Rfam family "Bacterial small subunit ribosomal RNA", at positions 28 to 523 of the family's 1533-position model. The record is from RNAcentral.
GAUGAACGCUAGCGGCAGGCUUAACACAUGCAAGUCGAGGGGUAGUGGGAGCUUGCUUCCACGAGACCGGCGCACGGGUGCGUAACGCGUAUGCAAUCUGCCUCUCACUGGGGAAUAGCCCGGAGAAAUCCGGAUUAAUGCCCCAUGGUAUUUUUGAAUGGCAUCAUUCGUCUAUUAAAGAUUUAUCGGUGAGAGAUGAGCAUGCGUCCCAUUAGUUAGUUGGUAAGGUAACGGCUUACCAAGACGAUUAUGGGUAGGGGUCCUGAGAGGGCGAUCUCCCACACUGGGACUGAGAAAGGGACCAGAAUCCUACGGGAGGCAGCAGUGAGGAAUAUUGGUCAAUGGGCGAAAGCCUGAUCCAGCCAUGCCGCGUGCAGGACGACGGCCCUAUGGGUUGUAAACUGCUUUUGUACGGGAAGAAACAGCGAUUCGUGAAUCGCCUUGACGGUACCGUAAGAAUAAGGAUCGGCUAACUCCGUGCCAGCAGCCGCCGUAA